RNAcentral lists this transfer RNA (75 nucleotides) under Danionella cerebrum. Its description in RNAcentral is "tRNA-Val". It matches the Rfam family "tRNA". From Rfam's summary of the family: Transfer RNA (tRNA) molecules are approximately 80 nucleotides in length. Lineage: Eukaryota; Metazoa; Chordata; Actinopteri; Cypriniformes; Danionidae. The record is from RNAcentral.
ACUUUCCUGUGGCUCAGUUGGUAGAGCAUUGCUCUAACAACACAAAGGUCUUGGGUUCAAAUCACAGGGAAAGCA